GGAACCAGCCAUGCAAAGAUCUGUGACAAGAACAUUCUAGGGCUAGAAUCUAGGACCACUUUGGACAUUCAAAGCAAAGGAAGGAAAACGAAGGGGAGCAUGGGGGAGAUGAAACGCAAGGAAGGCAGAGUGUACAAUGUCUAUGUAAGCACAACAAGAAAGCAACUUAACUGCCUGCAGCAUCAGACCAAGUUCCUGGAUCAUAAGUUUGAAAGUAGCUUCUAGAUGACGCUUGUGGAUAUUUGGAAUAAUAUCUACUAAUUUCUGUUAAGCAGCUAUGUUUCAACUCCACUUCAAUAAAAACAGCCAAAUUUCUCUCCUGGAAA
This 326-nucleotide non-coding RNA is filed under the name Pongo abelii (Sumatran orangutan). The record is from RNAcentral. Lineage: Eukaryota; Metazoa; Chordata; Mammalia; Primates; Hominidae.